CGCGUAGGCGGCCUUCUAAGUCGGACGUGAAAUCCCUCGGCUUAACCGAGGAACUGCGUCCGAUACUGAAAGGCUUGAAUCCGGGAGAGGGAUGUGGAAUUCCAGGUGUAGCGGUGAAAUGCGUAGAUAUCUGGAGGAACACCGGUGGCGAAGGCGGCAUCCUGGACCGGUAUUGACGCUGAGGCGCGAAAGCUAGGGGAGCAAACG
Molecule: ribosomal RNA, 207 nt
Filed under: uncultured bacterium
Lineage: Bacteria
Description: partial 16S ribosomal RNA
Rfam family: Bacterial small subunit ribosomal RNA
Source: RNAcentral